Molecule: long non-coding RNA, 787 nt
Organism: Peromyscus eremicus (cactus mouse)
Lineage: Eukaryota; Metazoa; Chordata; Mammalia; Rodentia; Cricetidae
Exons: 2
Source: RefSeq, a predicted model, not a curated record
CAUUCUGAAGUUUAGUGAAAGGUGGAUCAAAGUGGGAAUUCUAAAACAGUGGGUGAACAGGGGAGGUGAGAGUCCAUAGGAAAGAAGCCUGGACAUGAAAGACGACUUAAGCCAGGGGAGGAGAACUGAAGAAACGGGUCUGCAUUGUGCACCUGAGGGAGGAAGUGGUCAGGUCUGGCCUCCCGAGGAGCAGAGCAGAAAAGAUGAAAGUCAAGCCGAGUUGAGAUCUCAACCGUGUCCACAGCAACAGUAGCACCAUGGAACGUGUUGUCCAGGAAACAGGGGCGUGUCGGGGUGUUAUUGUUUGCACCGUUGAUCAGUGAGGCAUUGUGUAGUACACUUCAACUAGGAGAAGAAAAAAUACAUCAGAAAGAAGGGCCAGUCCGGGAGAAGGAAACACAUCCAAACUCCUUGCUCCCAAUCGUAUCGUCAGUUUGGUCCCAAGAACACCAGCAUGCUUGUCAACUCUCCCUGAAAGCUGCCGGUAAAGGAAAAUAUGCUGCAACUCCUGAAAGGGGCAAAUUAUUAGGAGAAUUUGGAAUUUGGGGCCCUUACAUACUAUGAGCUGACACGAGGGAAUGAACAAAGAAACAUGUCUACAUCACCCUCCUUGACUUUCCUGAUAUAAACCAUCUCUCUGGGCUGCCAUCUUGGAAAUGAGAGAAAUUGCACAUGGAUACUUUUGCUUUACAGGACUUACCCCUUCCCGCCUCGCUGUUUAUAACUUUUUCUUCUGUGUUCAGACAUUGCAAUUUUCAUAUAUCUGUUCAUUAAAUUAUUUAUUUAA